CCAUUGGUGGUUCACUGGUAGAACUCUCGACUUCCAUGUGGGGUACCCGGGUUCAGCUCCCAGCCAAUGCU
RNAcentral lists this transfer RNA (71 nucleotides) under Loxodonta africana (African savanna elephant). It matches the Rfam family "tRNA". From Rfam's summary of the family: Transfer RNA (tRNA) molecules are approximately 80 nucleotides in length. Their secondary structure includes four short double-helical elements and three loops (D, anti-codon, and T loops). Further hydrogen bonds mediate the characteristic L-shaped molecular structure. tRNAs have two regions of fundamental functional importance: the anti-codon, which is responsible for specific mRNA codon recognition, and the 3' end, to which the tRNAs corresponding amino acid is attached (by aminoacyl-tRNA synthetases). tRNAs cope with the degeneracy of the genetic code in two manners: having more than one tRNA (with a specific anti-codon) for a particular amino acid; and 'wobble' base-pairing, i.e. permitting non-standard base-pairing at the 3rd anti-codon position. Lineage: Eukaryota; Metazoa; Chordata; Mammalia; Proboscidea; Elephantidae. The record is from Rfam by way of RNAcentral.